Molecule: transfer RNA, 72 nt
Filed under: Vicugna pacos (alpaca)
Lineage: Eukaryota; Metazoa; Chordata; Mammalia; Artiodactyla; Camelidae
Also listed under: 1 other name
Rfam family: tRNA
About the family: Transfer RNA (tRNA) molecules are approximately 80 nucleotides in length. Their secondary structure includes four short double-helical elements and three loops (D, anti-codon, and T loops). Further hydrogen bonds mediate the characteristic L-shaped molecular structure. tRNAs have two regions of fundamental functional importance: the anti-codon, which is responsible for specific mRNA codon recognition, and the 3' end, to which the tRNAs corresponding amino acid is attached (by aminoacyl-tRNA synthetases). tRNAs cope with the degeneracy of the genetic code in two manners: having more than one tRNA (with a specific anti-codon) for a particular amino acid; and 'wobble' base-pairing, i.e. permitting non-standard base-pairing at the 3rd anti-codon position.
Source: Rfam by way of RNAcentral
GAGGGUAUAGCUCAGUGGUAAAGCACAUGCUUACCAUGCACAAGGGCCUGGCUUCAAUCCCCAGUACCUCCA